CCAUGGUGGCGCCAUGGCGGGCGACGAGGGGAGGUCGGUCCCUGGUGAGGCAGCGUUGCGGCCGUGUCUGGCUGUCAUCUCCCGCCACCCUCGGCCUCCCUCAGCGCAGGGAGACUUGGGGUUCAUUCCUAUCGUCUUGAAGGGAAGCUGACAAAAGCUUUAAGACCACAAGAGGCCACGUUCUUUUUUACAUUUAAUACACUUGACUGCCUUCCAUGCCAGUCACAACAUCUGAACGGCACAACUUCACACCAGCAUGCAAAUCUAGUACAUUGGAGAUGUUCCAGCCUCUUCUGUUGAAAACUGAAAUAAUUCCACAGUGCACACAGCGUCUUUGUUGCUUCUUCACACUGCCCUCUGCUGCACGAGAGCCAGUUAUUCACAAAGGUGUUGAUGAGUUACACAAGACAAUUGUCUGCCUCACGCAGUACAAGGCCACCAAGGUCAUUUGAUAUUAUCAAAGAGCUGGUAACUUAGGAUGGAUUUGAAAUAGCUCCACAUUGCAUGGCAAAGUCCUGGAGUCAUGCUUUGCCUUGGAAAGACCUUGUUCUUCUAAGGACACAGUGACAUGAAGAAUUACUUUGCAAAGCUGAUGGUGCACAGGGGACCAGACUCCUAGAUGAAAACCAAGCCUUGCUGAAAUCUGCGAGCUAUUCUCAAGCACAGAUUGCACCCUGAAUGGAUGUGGGCAGGAGCUGGAUGAAUAAGGAGGUAUUAUUUCUUACUGCAUCUACCAUUGAAACAGAAUAGAACUGGGCAACUGUUCAAUAGCAAAGUACAAUGUAAUUAAUCUGUUUUUCUCAUGACCUCUUUUUUUUUUUUUUUCCCCAGAACUAAGUUAGGUCUUUACUCAGACCAACAGUUCACCUAAACCCAUCUCCAAUACUUGCUAUAAAAGAAGAAUGGGACGAACAUAGCUGUUGUGUCACUUCAGUUUCCUCUUUAUUAAUGUUUAAGUGACUAACCCUGAAUUCCUUAACUGUAGGAUAUGAUAGUUCAAAAAAGUCAUGAAGCCUUUCCAGAAAUAUGUACACAGAAACAGAAUGCAGUAAGUAAAGUCCCUGCAGAAAAAAAUGUAAAGAAAAUAGAAAAAAACCCCACCCUUGUCAUACAGAGAAAAAAUGCAAGACAAAAGCCAAGUAAGAAAAACCAUUUGAAAAAUCCCACCACCACAAAAAACCCACCCUUGUGUUAGACUUCUGAAGCAGGUUCCAAAGAGCAAACUCCACAGUGUGUAGGACAAG
This is a long non-coding RNA of Aquila chrysaetos chrysaetos, 1244 nucleotides long. RefSeq lists it as uncharacterized. Lineage: Eukaryota; Metazoa; Chordata; Aves; Accipitriformes; Accipitridae. The transcript has 3 exons. The record is from RefSeq and is a predicted model, not a curated record.